GACGAACGCUGGCGGCGUGCUUAACACAUGCAAGUCGAACGGAAAGGCCCUGCUCUUGUUGGUCGCUCGUGUGGCGAACGGGUGAGUAACACGCGUGUAACCUGCCCCUGUCUUUGGGAUAUAUUCAGGAAACAGGGGCUAAUAUCCGAGAGGAUCUCUUGAUCCAUGGUGUGGGUUGGAAAGUUUCGGCGGUUGGGGAUGGACUGGCGGCUUAUCAGCUUGUUGGUGGGGUAGUGGCAUACCAAGGUUUUGACGGGUAGCCGGCCUGGGAGGGUGACCGGGCACAAUGCGACUGAGAUACGGCCCAGACGCCUACGGGCGGCAGCAGUCGGGAGUAUUGCGCAGUAGGCGGGAGCGUGAUGCAGCAGCGCCGCGUGCGUGAUGACGGCCUACGGGUUGUAAACCGCUUUGGCCUGUGACGUGGCGUGAGUGACGGUAAUGGGUAAAGAAGCACCGGCUAACUACGUG
This 468-nucleotide ribosomal RNA is filed under the name uncultured bacterium. RNAcentral's name for it is "partial 16S ribosomal RNA". It matches the Rfam family "Bacterial small subunit ribosomal RNA", at positions 28 to 507 of the family's 1533-position model. The record is from RNAcentral.